UCCAGACUCCUACGGGAGGCAGCAGUGGGGGAUAUUGCACAAUGGGGGGAACCCUGAUGCAGCGACGCCGCGUGGGUGAAGGAGCGUUUCGGCGCGUAAAGCCCUAUCGGCAGGGAAGAAGGAGGACGGUACCUGACUAAGAAGCCCCGGCUAACUACGUGCCAGCAGCCGCGGUAAUACGUAGGGGGCAAGCGUUAUCCGGAUUUACUGGGUGUAAAGGGGGCGCAGACGGCAGCGCAAGCCAGGAGUGAAAGCCCGGGGCCCAACCCCGGGACUGCUCUUGGAACUGCGCGGCUGGAGUGCAGGAGGGGCAGGCGGAAUUCCUGGUGUAGCGGUGAAAUGCGUAGAUAUCAGGAGGAACACCGGUGGCGAAGGCGGCCUGCUGGACUGCGACUGACGUUGAGGCCCGAAAGCGUGGGGAGCAAACAGGAUUAGAUACCCUAGUAAUG
Molecule: ribosomal RNA, 449 nt
Filed under: uncultured bacterium
Lineage: Bacteria
Description: partial 16S ribosomal RNA
Rfam family: Bacterial small subunit ribosomal RNA
Source: RNAcentral